GUCGACGAACUGAUUAGAAGCUUGCUUCUAUGACGUUAGCGGCGGACGGGUGAGUAACACGUGGGCAACCUGCCUGUAAGACUGGGAUAACUUCGGGAAACCGAAGCUAAUACCGGAUAGGAUCUUCUCCUUCAUGGGAGAUGAUUGAAAGAUGGUUUCGGCUAUCACUUACAGAUGGGCCCGCGGUGCAUUAGCUAGUUGGUGAGGUAACGGCUCACCAAGGCAACGAUGCAUAGCCGACCUGAGAGGGUGAUCGGCCACACUGGGACUGAGACACGGCCCAGACUCCUACGGGAGGCAGCAGUAGGGAAUCUUCCGCAAUGGACGAAAGUCUGACGGAGCAACGCCGCGUGAGUGAUGAAGGCUUUCGGGUCGUAAAACUCUGUUGUUAGGGAAGAACAAGUACAAGAGUAACUGCUUGUACCUUGACGGUACCUAACCAGAAAGCCACGGCUAACUACGUGCCAGCAGCCGCGGNUNNCNUAG
RNAcentral lists this ribosomal RNA (486 nucleotides) under Bacillus sp. enrichment culture clone A3k. RNAcentral's name for it is "bacterial SSU rRNA". It matches the Rfam family "Bacterial small subunit ribosomal RNA", at positions 61 to 530 of the family's 1533-position model. The record is from RNAcentral. Lineage: Bacteria; Bacillati; Bacillota; Bacilli; Caryophanales; Bacillaceae.